AUUAAUGUGCCUGAAUAAAAGGGUUAAUUUGAUAGAUUAAAUAAUGAAAAAUUUUA
This 56-nucleotide transfer RNA is filed under the name Argyroneta aquatica (water spider). Its description in RNAcentral is "tRNA-Ile". Lineage: Eukaryota; Metazoa; Arthropoda; Arachnida; Araneae; Dictynidae. The record is from RNAcentral.